Molecule: long non-coding RNA, 463 nt
Organism: Cercocebus atys (sooty mangabey)
Lineage: Eukaryota; Metazoa; Chordata; Mammalia; Primates; Cercopithecidae
Exons: 4
Source: RefSeq, a predicted model, not a curated record
CUUCACGUUCCCUGAAAUUGAAUUACUUUCUACCACCAUCCCCAAAUAAUACUUGACUGUCCAAGGAAGGGGUUAGAAGGCAUCCAUCCUGUGGAGAGGGAGCACAUACCACCUCCUCUGCAAGACAGCACUGGGGAAACAAUGAGACCUCAGAGGGAAGGUGCCUGGUGGACAUGAAGUAGAGAACCUGUGGAACUGAGGCUUCCAAAAUCAGCUGGCAUUUCCAUUAACAAAAGCAGCAGUCAGCAGUCCUCAAGGAGCUGAGCAAGUUCUGCCAAUGGACAGCUCAUCAUGAAUUGCUCCAGGUAGGUCCUCCAGGAAGUAUUGCAGAAGAAGGCAUUGUUAUCAUAGGAGAUGACAGCUCCAUGGGUGUUACUGCCCCUGAAGACCUUCCAGUGGAAGAAGAUGUGGAGGUGGGAGACGGUGAUAUUGAUGAUCGUCACCCUGUGGAAGUCUAGGCUAA